Molecule: ribosomal RNA, 2380 nt
Filed under: Escherichia coli
Lineage: Bacteria; Pseudomonadati; Pseudomonadota; Gammaproteobacteria; Enterobacterales; Enterobacteriaceae
Description: bacterial LSU rRNA
Rfam family: Bacterial large subunit ribosomal RNA
Source: RNAcentral
GGGGGACCAUCCUCCAAGGCUAAAUACUCCUGACUGACCGAUAGUGAACCAGUACCGUGAGGGAAAGGCGAAAAGAACCCCGGCGAGGGGAGUGAAAAAGAACCUGAAACCGUGUACGUACAAGCAGUGGGAGCCUCUUAAUGGGGUGACUGCGUACCUUUUGUAUAAUGGGUCAGCGACUUAUAUUCUGUAGCAAGGUUAACCGAAUAGGGGAGCCGAAGGGAAACCGAGUCUUAACUGGGCGUUAAGUUGCAGGGUAUAGACCCGAAACCCGGUGAUCUAGCCAUGGGCAGGUUGAAGGUUGGGUAACACUAACUGGAGGACCGAACCGACUAAUGUUGAAAAAUUAGCGGAUGACUUGUGGCUGGGGGUGAAAGGCCAAUCAAACCGGGAGAUAGCUGGUUCUCCCCGAAAGCUAUUUAGGUAGCGCCUCGUGAAUUCAUCUCCGGGGGUAGAGCACUGUUUCGGCAAGGGGGUCAUCCCGACUUACCAACCCGAUGCAAACUGCGAAUACCGGAGAAUGUUAUCACGGGAGACACACGGCGGGUGCUAACGUCCGUCGUGAAGAGGGAAACAACCCAGACCGCCAGCUAAGGUCCCAAAGUCAUGGUUAAGUGGGAAACGAUGUGGGAAGGCCCAGACAGCCAGGAUGUUGGCUUAGAAGCAGCCAUCAUUUAAAGAAAGCGUAAUAGCUCACUGGUCGAGUCGGCCUGCGCGGAAGAUGUAACGGGGCUAAACCAUGCACCGAAGCUGCGGCAGCGACACUAUGUGUUGUUGGGUAGGGGAGCGUUCUGUAAGCCUGUGAAGGUGGCCUGUGAGGGUUGCUGGAGGUAUCAGAAGUGCGAAUGCUGACAUAAGUAACGAUAAAGCGGGUGAAAAGCCCGCUCGCCGGAAGACCAAGGGUUCCUGUCCAACGUUAAUCGGGGCAGGGUGAGUCGACCCCUAAGGCGAGGCCGAAAGGCGUAGUCGAUGGGAAACAGGUUAAUAUUCCUGUACUUGGUGUUACUGCGAAGGGGGGACGGAGAAGGCUAUGUUGGCCGGGCGACGGUUGUCCCGGUUUAAGCGUGUAGGCUGGUUUUCCAGGCAAAUCCGGAAAACCAAGGCUGAGGCGUGAUGACGAGGCACUACGGUGCUGAAGCGACAAAUGCCCUGCUUCCAGGAAAAGCCUCUAAGCAUCAGGUAACAUCAAAUCGUACCCCAAACCGACACAGGUGGUCAGGUAGAGAAUACCAAGGCGCUUGAGAGAACUCGGGUGAAGGAACUAGGCAAAAUGGUGCCGUAACUUCGGGAGAAGGCACGCUGAUAUGUAGGUGAAGCGACUUGCUCGUGGAGCUGAAAUCAGUCGAAGAUACCAGCUGGCUGCAACUGUUUAUUAAAAACACAGCACUGUGCAAACACGAAAGUGGACGUAUACGGUGUGACGCCUGCCCGGUGCCGGAAGGUUAAUUGAUGGGGUUAGCGGUAACGCGAAGCUCUUGAUCGAAGCCCCGGUAAACGGCGGCCGUAACUAUAACGGUCCUAAGGUAGCGAAAUUCCUUGUCGGGUAAGUUCCGACCUGCACGAAUGGCGUAAUGAUGGCCAGGCUGUCUCCACCCGAGACUCAGUGAAAUUGAACUCGCUGUGAAGAUGCAGUGUACCCGCGGCAAGACGGAAAGACCCCGUGAACCUUUACUAUAGCUUGACACUGAACAUUGAGCCUUGAUGUGUAGGAUAGGUGGGAGGCUUUGAAGUGUGGACGCCAGUCUGCAUGGAGCCGACCUUGAAAUACCACCCUUUAAUGUUUGAUGUUCUAACGUUGGCCCGUAAUCCGGGUUGCGGACAGUGUCUGGUGGGUAGUUUGACUGGGGCGGUCUCCUCCUAAAGAGUAACGGAGGAGCACGAAGGUUGGCUAAUCCUGGUCGGACAUCAGGAGGUUAGUGCAAUGGCAUAAGCCAGCUUGACUGCGAGCGUGACGGCGCGAGCAGGUGCGAAAGCAGGUCAUAGUGAUCCGGUGGUUCUGAAUGGAAGGGCCAUCGCUCAACGGAUAAAAGGUACUCCGGGGAUAACAGGCUGAUACCGCCCAAGAGUUCAUAUCGACGGCGGUGUUUGGCACCUCGAUGUCGGCUCAUCACAUCCUGGGGCUGAAGUAGGUCCCAAGGGUAUGGCUGUUCGCCAUUUAAAGUGGUACGCGAGCUGGGUUUAGAACGUCGUGAGACAGUUCGGUCCCUAUCUGCCGUGGGCGCUGGAGAACUGAGGGGGGCUGCUCCUAGUACGAGAGGACCGGAGUGGACGCAUCACUGGUGUUCGGGUUGUCAUGCCAAUGGCACUGCCCGGUAGCUAAAUGCGGAAGAGAUAAGUGCUGAAAGCAUCUAAGCACGAAACUUGCCCCGAGAUGAGUUCU